This 456-nucleotide ribosomal RNA is filed under the name uncultured bacterium. RNAcentral describes it as "SSU rRNA". It matches the Rfam family "Bacterial small subunit ribosomal RNA", at positions 26 to 518 of the family's 1533-position model. The record is from RNAcentral.
AGAACGAACGUUAGCGGCGCGCUUAACACAUGCAAGUCGCACGGUUCGGGGGCAACCCCGGGCAGCGGCGGACGGGUGAGGAACGCGUAGGAAUAUGUCCUGGGAUGGGGGAUAACCGUGGGAAACUACGGCUAAUACCGCAUGCGGCCUGAGGGCCAAAGGUCGAAAGGCCGUCUUGGGAGGAGCCUGCGUCCGAUUAGCUUGUUGGUGGGGUAACGGCCUACCAAGGCUGCGAUCGGUAGCUGGUCUGAGAGGAUGAUCAGCCACACUGGGACUGAGACACGGCCCAGACUCCUACGGGAGGCAGCAGUGGGGAAUAUUGGACAAUGGCGCAAGCCUGAUCCAGCAAUGCCGCGUGGGUGAAGAAGGUCUUCGGAUUGUAAAGCCCUUUCGGCGGGACGAUGAUGACGGUACCCGCAGAAGAAGCCCCGGCUAACUUCGUGCCAAGCCAGCCGC